UUUUUAGGUUUCCGUUGAUUUUUUUCCCUGCUUUGUUUCACUAGAGCUGAAGAGGGAAAUCGAAGAACAAACCGCCGCCAGCUAGGAUUUUUUUCUCUCCCCCAUUUCCUUCCCCAACCGAAUGAAAUCGACGAAAACCGUGCCUACGUCGGAUUUUUUUCUUCCUCGUUGAUUUCUUCGGUGAGCUACAGUUACCUCCUUCACAUCGCUCCCGCCAGAAACUCCCGCGAUCUUUGUCCCUGUAUUCGAAGAAAUUUGCCCCUUUUCUCUCUCUCUCUCGGCAAGCUAGCGAGCGAUUAAUUAUGGGUCCCUGAAUUCUACUGAAGGCGAAGAUGAAGGCGAAAACGAGAGGCAUCGAAGAGCGCGGUGAAGGCAACGAAUUCAACAAGGAAGCAGAGCCCCUAGGAAGCGGCAGCUACAGCGAUAAGGAUCUCAAGCAAGCAUAAUCGUCAUCAAUUUAUGUUUUUUUAAUGUUAUCUGAGUAAUUUUGAGGAAAGACUUGUUAUUAGGGUUUUGGGGCUUGAUGUCGGCAGGGGUUUUGUUGGUGGAUCCCACAGCAGGAAGAAAAAAGAUGAUGCCAAAGCCAGUUGAGGAACGAAAAAUGCUCUAUCCUUUCCAGUUGAAGGAAUCAGGGCUUGUUCAUUGUUGCUUAAAUUUCUUUCUAUGAAUGAGGUUAUGUAUGCACCAGGUAUGAGUAUGCUAAACAUCUUCAAGGAUAGCCCCCUGAGCACAUCGACCCUUGAUGAUUUCAUGUUUUAUGAAGAGCGGCAGAAGAUUAUGCAGAAAGAGAAGUGUAGAUUUACAGGAAGAAGCUACGAAACUUAUAUACCUACAAUUGUUUCUGCCGAGAAGUCCAGUGAUUCAGCUGGGCAGAGUGGUUCCUCCAAUCAGAUUGCAAAAUUGGACGGAGGUCAAACGAGUGUAACAUCUGGUCAACCUCUGAAUGCUGAUGUCGAGCUAACUGAGUGUAGAAUCUAUUGUUACCUUUCUGAUAUUCAUGUUUUUGUGUUAACUCUGACCCUGGCAUUAAGCUCAAUUUGGCAGAGUUUAUUAUUCACCAAUUGUUGUUUCUCCGUUUAGCUCUUGUGUUAAGGUGAUUGGUCUAGAGUGAUGGGGAUAUACUUUUUCUUCUUUGUUUUCAUUAUUUUAAUGUGGAAGUUUACAUAAUGUAAACUCUUCUAUUACUAUGUUACAACAUCGACAAAUCCAAAUACAAAUGCUACAAUUAUUCUCUUUUAAAUUUGAA
Molecule: RNA transcript, 1246 nt
Organism: Asparagus officinalis (garden asparagus)
Lineage: Eukaryota; Viridiplantae; Streptophyta; Magnoliopsida; Asparagales; Asparagaceae
Exons: 3
Source: RefSeq, a predicted model, not a curated record